This 438-nucleotide ribosomal RNA is filed under the name uncultured bacterium. Its description in RNAcentral is "partial 16S ribosomal RNA". It matches the Rfam family "Bacterial small subunit ribosomal RNA", at positions 28 to 507 of the family's 1533-position model. The record is from RNAcentral.
AACGAACGCUGGCGGCAUGCCUAACACAUGCAAGUCGAACGAGACCUUCGGGUCUAGGGGCGCAGGGGGGCUUAACGCGUGGGAACUAGCCCUUAGGUUCGGAAUACUUCACCGAAGGGUGACCUAAUACAGCUGAAUCUCUUCGGGGCAAAGAGUUGGCGCUUGGGGAUGGGCCCGGGUCGGAUUCGCUGGUUGGGGGGGUACAGGCGUACCAAGGCCAUGAUGGAGAGCUGGUCUGUGAGGGUGACCGGCCACAUUGGGACUGAGAUACGGCCCAGACCCCUACGGGAGGCAGCAGUGGGGAAGAGGAAACAAUGGGCGGAAGCCUGAUGCAGCAACGCCGCGUGCGGGAUGACGGCCAUGGGGUUGGAAACCGCAUUCGCCUGUGACGGGGCGUGAGUGACGGGAAUGGGUAAAGAAGCACCGGCUAACUACGUG